GACGAACGCUGGCGGCGUGCUUAACACAUGCAAGUCGAACGGAGAGGCCCUGCUUGCAGGGUGCUCGAGUGGCGAACGGGUGAGUAACACGUGGGUGAUCUGCCCCUUACUUUGGGAUAAGCCUGGGAAACUGGGUCUAAUACUGGAUAGGACCAUGCUGUAGGUGGUGUGGUGGAAAGAUUAGUUUCGGUAAGGGAUGAGCUCGCGGCCUAUCAGCUUGUUGGUGGGGUAAUGGCCUACCAAGGCGGCGACGGGUAGCCGGCCUGAGAGGGUGGACGGCCACAUUGGGUCUGAGAUACGGCCCAGACUCCUACGGGAGGCAGCAGUGGGGAAUAUUGCACAAUGGGCGCAAGCCUGAUGCAGCGACGCCGCGUGGGGGAUGACGGCCUUCGGGUUGUAAACUCCUUUCAGCCAUGACGAAGCCCUUGUGGUGACGGUAGUGGUAGAAGAAGCACCGGCUAACUACGUG
RNAcentral lists this ribosomal RNA (469 nucleotides) under uncultured bacterium. RNAcentral describes it as "partial 16S ribosomal RNA". It matches the Rfam family "Bacterial small subunit ribosomal RNA", at positions 28 to 507 of the family's 1533-position model. The record is from RNAcentral.